RNAcentral lists this ribosomal RNA (603 nucleotides) under Rhodotorula glutinis. RNAcentral describes it as "eukaryotic LSU rRNA". It matches the Rfam family "Eukaryotic large subunit ribosomal RNA", at positions 45 to 660 of the family's 3401-position model. The record is from RNAcentral. Lineage: Eukaryota; Fungi; Basidiomycota; Microbotryomycetes; Sporidiobolales; Sporidiobolaceae.
UAAAAGCGGAGGAAAAGAAACUAACAAGGAUUCCCCUAGUAGCGGCGAGCGAAGCGGGAAGAGCUCAAAUUUAUAAUCUGGCACCUUCGGUGUCCGAGUUGUAAUCUCUAGAAGUGUUUUCCGCGUUGGACCGCACACAAGUCUGUUGGAAUACAGCGGCAUAGUGGUGAAACCCCCGUAUAUGGUGCGGACGCCCAGCGCUUUGUGAUACACUUUCAAUGAGUCGAGUUGUUUGGGAAUGCAGCUCAAAUUGGGUGGUAAAUUCCAUCUAAAGCUAAAUAUUGGCGAGAGACCGAUAGCGAACAAGUACCGUGAGGGAAAGAUGAAAAGCACUUUGGAAAGAGAGUUAACAGUACGUGAAAUUGUUGGAAGGGAAACGCUUGAAGUCAGACUUGCUUGCCGGAGCUUGCUUCGGUUUGCAGGCCAGCAUCAGUUUUCCGGGGUGGAUAAUGACGGUUUGAAGGUAGCAGUCUCGGCUGUGUUAUAGCUUUCCGUUGGAUACAUCCUGGGGGACUGAGGAACGCAGCGUGCUUUUUGCGAAAGACUCGUCUUUUUCACGCUUAGGAUGCUGGUGGAAUGGCUUUAAACGACCCGUCUUGAAAC